GCGAACGGGUGAGUAACACGUGACCAAUCUGCCCCGGACUGGGGGAUAACGUCGGGAAACUGACGCUAAUACCGCAUAUUGAGAUUAGUUCGCAUGGACCGGUCUUGAAAGAUUUAUCGGUCCGGGAUGAGGUCGCGCCCCAUUAGCUUGUUGGUAGGGUAAUGGCCUACCAAGGCUACGAUGGGUAGCUGGUCUGAGAGGAUGAUCAGCCACACUGGGACUGAGAUACGGCCCAGACUCCUAUGGGAGGCAGCAGUGAGGAAUAUUGCGCAAUGGGCGAAAGCCUGACGCAGCAACGCCGCGUGAAGGAUGAAGGUCCUUUGGAUUGUAAACUUCUGUAGGGAGGGACGAAAAGCCGAUUCUGUCGGAAUUGACGGUACCUCCAAAGUAAGCACCGGCUAACUCCGUGCCAGCAGCCGCGGUAAUACGGAGGGUGCAAGCGUUGUCCGGAUUCACUGGGUGUAAAGGGCGUGUAGGCGGGAGGAUGUGUCGGGAGUGAAAUCGCACGGCUUAACCGUGCAAUUGCUUCCGAAACUGUUCUUCUUGAAUGCAGCAGAGGCAGAUGGAAUUCCAGGUGUAGCGGUGGAAUGCGUAGAUAUCUGGAAGAACACCGGGGGCGAAGGCGGUCUGCUGGGCUGUGAUUGACGCUGAGGCGCGAAAGUGCGGGGAGCAAACAGGAUUAGAUACCCUGGUAGUCCGCACCGUAAACGAUGGUCACUAGUCGUCGGGGGAUUCGACCCCUUCGGUGACGACGCUCACGCAUUAAGUGACCCACCUGGGGAGUACGCCCGCAAGGGUGAAACUCAAGGAAUUGA
This 815-nucleotide ribosomal RNA is filed under the name uncultured microorganism. Its description in RNAcentral is "bacterial SSU rRNA". It matches the Rfam family "Bacterial small subunit ribosomal RNA", at positions 98 to 913 of the family's 1533-position model. The record is from RNAcentral.